GACGAACGCUGGCGGCGUGCUUAACACAUGCAAGUCGAACGAUGAACCACUUCGGUGGGGAUUAGUGGCGAACGGGUGAGUAACACGUGGGCAAUCUGCCCUGCACUCUGGGACAAGCCCUGGAAACGGGGUCUAAUACCGGAUACUGAUCCUCGCAGGCAUCUGCGAGGUUCGAAAGCUCCGGCGGUGCAGGAUGAGCCCGCGGCCUAUCAGCUAGUUGGUGAGGUAACGGCUCACCAAGGCGACGACGGGUAGCCGGCCUGAGAGGGCGACCGGCCACACUGGGACUGAGACACGGCCCAGACUCCUACGGGAGGCAGCAGUGGGGAAUAUUGCACAAUGGGCGAAAGCCUGAUGCAGCGACGCCGCGUGAGGGAUGACGGCCUUCGGGUUGUAAACCUCUUUCAGCAGGGAAGAAGCGAAAGUGACGGUACCUGCAGAAGAAGCGCCGGCUAACUACGUGCCAGCAGCCGCGGUAAUACGUAGGGCGCAAGCGUUGUCCGGAAUUAUUGGGCGUAAAGAGCUCGUAGGCGGCUUGUCACGUCGGUUGUGAAAGCCCGGGGCUUAACCCCGGGUCUGCAGUCGAUACGGGCAGGCUAGAGUUCGGUAGGGGAGAUCGGAAUUCCUGGUGUAGCGGUGAAAUGCGCAGAUAUCAGGAGGAACACCGGUGGCGAAGGCGGAUCUCUGGGCCGAUACUGACGCUGAGGAGCGAAAGCGUGGGGAGCGAACAGGAUUAGAUACCCUGGUAGUCCACGCCGUAAACGGUGGGCACUAGGUGUGGGCAACAUUCCACGUUGUCCGUG
Molecule: ribosomal RNA, 803 nt
Filed under: Streptomyces rochei
Lineage: Bacteria; Bacillati; Actinomycetota; Actinomycetes; Kitasatosporales; Streptomycetaceae
Description: bacterial SSU rRNA
Rfam family: Bacterial small subunit ribosomal RNA
Source: RNAcentral